Molecule: non-coding RNA, 45 nt
Organism: Schistosoma haematobium
Lineage: Eukaryota; Metazoa; Platyhelminthes; Trematoda; Strigeidida; Schistosomatidae
Source: Rfam
AUCCAGCUGAUGAACCCUAAAUAGGACGAAACCCGUGUCCUGAAU